AGAGUUUGAUCAUGGCUCAGAUUGAACGCUGGCGGCAUGCCUUACACAUGCAAGUCGAACGGCAGCACGGGUGCUUGCACCUGGUGGCGAGUGGCGAACGGGUGAGUAAUACAUCGGAACAUGUCCUGUAGUGGGGGAUAGCCCGGCGAAAGCCGGAUUAAUACCGCAUACGAUCUACGGAUGAAAGCGGGGGACCUUCGGGCCUCGCGCUAUAGGGUUGGCCGAUGGCUGAUUAGCUAGUUGGUGGGGUAAAGGCCUACCAAGGCGACGAUCAGUAGCUGGUCUGAGAGGACGACCAGCCACACUGGGACUGAGACACGGCCCAGACUCCUACGGGAGGCAGCAGUGGGGAAUUUUGGACAAUGGGCGAAAGCCUGAUCCAGCAAUGCCGCGUGUGUGAAGAAGGCCUUCGGGUUGUAAAGCACUUUUGUCCGGAAAGAAAUCCUUGGCUCUAAUACAGUCGGGGGAUGACGGUACCGGAAGAAUAAGCACCGGCUAACUACGUGCCAGCAGCCGCGGUAAUACGUAGGGUGCGAGCGUUAAUCGGAAUUACUGGGCGUAAAGCGUGCGCAGGCGGUUUGCUAAGACCGAUGUGAAAUCCCCGGGCUCAACCUGGGAACUGCAUUGGUGACUGGCAGGCUAGAGUAUGGCAGAGGGGGGUAGAAUUCCACGUGUAGCAGUGAAAUGCGUAGAGAUGUGGAGGAAUACCGAUGGCGAAGGCAGCCCCCUGGGCCAAUACUGACGCUCAUGCACGAAAGCGUGGGGAGCAAACAGGAUUAGAUACCCUGGUAGUCCACGCCCUAAACGAUGUCAACUAGUUGUUGGGGAUUCAUUUCCUUAGUAACGUAGCUAACGCGUGAAGUUGACCGCCUGGGGAGUACGGUCGCAAGAUUAAAACUCAAAGGAAUUGACGGGGACCCGCACAAGCGGUGGAUGAUGUGGAUUAAUUCGAUGCAACGCGAAAAACCUUACCUACCCUUGACAUGGUCGGAAUCCCGCUGAGAGGUGGGAGUGCUCGAAAGAGAACCGGCGCACAGGUGCUGCAUGGCUGUCGUCAGCUCGUGUCGUGAGAUGUUGGGUUAAGUCCCGCAACGAGCGCAACCCUUGUCCUUAGUUGCUACGCAAGAGCACUCUAAGGAGACUGCCGGUGACAAACCGGAGGAAGGUGGGGAUGACGUCAAGUCCUCAUGGCCCUUAUGGAUAGGGCUUCACACGUCAUACAAUGGUCGGAACAGAGGGUUGCCAACCCGCGAGGGGGAGCUAAUCCCAGAAAACCGAUCGUAGUCCGGAUUGCACUCUGCAACUCGAGUGCAUGAAGCUGGAAUCGCUAGUAAUCGCGGAUCAGCAUGCCGCGGUGAAUACGUUCC
Molecule: ribosomal RNA, 1367 nt
Filed under: unidentified marine bacterioplankton
Lineage: Bacteria
Also listed under: 1 other name
Description: bacterial SSU rRNA
Rfam family: Bacterial small subunit ribosomal RNA
Source: RNAcentral